AUACAUUCAAUAUUGAAGCACAUGUCAAGUACAUGAAUAUGCAAUGGCCUGUAGUCACAGUGGAUAUAUAUCAAAAUGCUCCUCUCUAAGUUCAUUUUUGUAGCAGACUAACGAGUUUUAUGACAUGGAAUGGCUUUAUUACAGGUAAUAAACAGGUACAUUUUACGGUAAAUGUGAUAUUUUUACAAGCUAUUUUAUUGGCGCUUUUCCGCGGUUGAAACAAUGAUUGAUCGAUUAACAUUACAUAUGACAUGAUACGGAUUUCAGUAAGUUGUACUGUAUCUUUCAACAUACUUUCGGUAUUCAUUCAUGUUUAUUUUGCGUUGUAAAGCAGAAGAGAUGAUCGGUUCACGUGCGCUCUGCCUCUGUUUGAACUGAAGCGCUACAGCGAUGUUUCAGUCACACCACAGAGCGCCAAAAAAGAUCACGACAGCUCGAGAGAUAUCUAUGGUCUCCUGUCUAUGGGAAAGUAGCCCAUUUUCGAUUUAUUGUGCCUGAAAACUCACCCUGACACCCCCCACCCCCGAAAAAAAAAACUCUUCAGAUCAACACGAUUCACAUAAAUGAUAUAUUUUGACUCAACACGGCGAAUUUCACCGAAAAGCGACUAGUUUGCAGGUAGCCUAUGUAAUAUCACUACAGUGUGUCAUCAAGCCUGCUUGUGGCUUACUUUACUUUCACAAGUUCCAGCGCCAUCGUCUUCAUGUGCUGUUUGAUGUUGCUGGUCAAAAGGUGCAGUCAGCUGAGGAUACCUACAAAUUCUCAUUGCAGUAUUUAAAUAAAUUGCAAGAGAAGUUGCCCAUAUGGACAUUUUCAUGACAUGCCAAUCAUAAGUACAGCUAAUGAUGUGCCUGAAUCACGGAAAUGCAUGGAAAUCAUCUUCAAAAUGAAUUCUACCGAAUAAUAGUUUAUGAGUUCACACAGUAGCUAAAGGUUAUGUGUAUUUGGCAAGCUGUCCAAAGGGGAAGGCUCCGAGCUCGGAAUUUGGCUUGAACCCACAGUAUUCCCCCAAAACGCAAAUGAGCAAAGGACAGCCACCAGAUGGAUUGACAAUAAAUAAAAACUCAGAAUAUUAAUCUCAGUCAAAGGUAUCAAAUAGCCUUUGACAAAACAACAUAGCUGCUUGACAAAACAAAGUGCAACUUAGAAAAAGAAGCCAUUUGAGUCUACCGUUAAACCAACCCCCACCCUUCCCAUCACCAUUUGGAGAAACAUAACUAUUCCCAUGAACUAUGGGGGAUCAAACCAAGAACAGACCUUGAUCCGCCAGCCCCCCUUAAUACGAUCCGUGGAGUCAACAGAAGCCUGCACAUUACUGAAGCACCAACACUGGCCCUGUGCUGAUAUAAUGGCUAGUAAGUACGUCGAAAUAAAAAUAUAUAGGCUAUAUAUAACAAAUAAAUAAACAAAUAAAAAGAAAUACAUAAAAUAACAUAACUACAUUUCAAAAAAUAAAAAUUUACAACCUGGCAGAAACCAUAGCACACAACCCAACACGAAAUAAGAAAUACAAUGUGAACUGAGAGAGUUUCAAUAUUUGUGGAAAAAAAAUAAAUAAAUAAAGUGAGGUGAACACUUUAUAAAAGAACAAUCACCUGACAAAUUAGAGCAUAUCUUCUUCAAUUAAAGACAGAAAAUAUCCUGCUGAAGUUCACAGAGGGUUAGUAGCUGAAUGACAACUGAGAAAAUGUCUCGCUUCCUCUGGAGAGAACAGCAUUUUUUUGUUCACCCUUAUUGAGAAUGAGCUUUAGUGUUGCAGGAUAAAGAAGGAAAUUCUGGAUGCCAGCUUCCCUCAUUUCCCUCCGAAUUGGUACAAACGCACUUCUUUUUGCAGUCAUAGGAGAAAAGUCUGGAAAAAAGGGCAGCGUUGCUCCGUCGCUUUUUUUCACCGGCGUAUGAAGUCUGGCAGCCCGUUCCCUGUCCGAGUAUCGCAAAAGUUUAAAGAGAAAGACACGUGGUUUAGCGCGAUCUGUUCGUGUACACGCGAUGUGCUCGUUCCACUUCAAUCUCCCUACCCGCCAGAGAAGGGAGCCACGUCGGCAGCUAUCUUUUCGGAUCCUUUUUUCGGUCCUUUUCGGAUCCUUCAGGCAAUCCAACCAGACGCAGAUUGCUGCGCCUGUUCCAAUCUUGUAUAUCCACCACCUGCUGUUCAAGCGCGGCUAAUCGCACAUCAUGAUCUGCGAGUCGUUUUCACAUCUCACCUGUAAGAAGAUCGAGUUUAGAACAUAGCGACUGCACAACUGACAUGUGAGAAGCAAAUUCACUCCGUAUCGCCGUAAACUCUGUUUUUAGAAUGUCCUCAAAGAGUGCUACUCCAUUUUGUCAACCGUAUCACUCGUGCUCGGUGUCUUGGAUCUCUUCUUAAUCGGAGAAGACGACGGCGACAAAUCCUGCUGUUUUCGAUUGUGUGCCAUCUGGUGGUGACAAUUACUGGCAGCCUCUCCCAUUCCAGCUCUAUACGUGCAGCAGGGAAUUCGCCCAGGACACCGGCUUCAGCUUUAGCAGUGACUGCAUACUGUUGGCAUUCUGGACCCCAAGCAACCUUGGCCUGAAAAAGGACAGUUGUGUUCAAAGGUUGGUAUUGAUGACAAUUAUUUCACUUGAGAAAUUUAUUUCGAUAAUUGUUCUAAAACUUUUUUUUUUUUUUUUUUUUUUUUAAAUCACACAAGUCUUUUCGGUCUUACAGUGACUUUGUGCUUGCUCAGCAGGGCACCGUCAGCACAGAUCUUCAGGUUGUCAUUUUCAGCGAUGGAGGAAAUGACGAGCUGCACUCUUGCAGUUGGCUUGUCAAAGUAAGCUGCAAGUUGGUAGCCCAGCAGCUUGUGGUCAACUCUCACAGCACGGGCAAUGACAGCAAAAACAGGUGGAAUACCAUUUCCGAGGAACUUAGCCUGAAAUAAAAAAACAUAAUCAAUUAA
Long non-coding RNA from Ctenopharyngodon idella (grass carp), 2918 nucleotides. RefSeq lists it as uncharacterized. The transcript has 2 exons. NCBI's taxonomy places the organism in Eukaryota, Metazoa, Chordata, Actinopteri, Cypriniformes, Xenocyprididae. The record is from RefSeq and is a predicted model, not a curated record.